This 101-nucleotide ribosomal RNA is filed under the name Staphylococcus pseudintermedius. RNAcentral describes it as "partial 23S ribosomal RNA". It matches the Rfam family "Bacterial large subunit ribosomal RNA", at positions 2824 to 2925 of the family's 2925-position model. The record is from RNAcentral. Lineage: Bacteria; Bacillati; Bacillota; Bacilli; Caryophanales; Staphylococcaceae.
GGUUAUAAGAUCCCUCAAAGAUGAUGAGGUGAAUAGGUUCGAGGUGGAAGCGUAGUGAUACGUGGAGCUGACGAAUACUAAUCGAUCGAAGACUUAAUCAA